Molecule: unclassified non-coding RNA, 253 nt
Filed under: uncultured Alphaproteobacteria bacterium
Lineage: Bacteria; Pseudomonadati; Pseudomonadota; Alphaproteobacteria
Description: contains 16S-23S intergenic spacer region
Rfam family: Bacterial small subunit ribosomal RNA
Source: RNAcentral
UACGGAGGGGGUUAGCGUUGUUCGGAAUUACUGGGCGUAAAGCGCACGUAGGCGGGCACUUAAGUCAGGGGUGAAAUCCCGGGGCUCAACCUCGGAAUUGCCUCUGAUACUGGGUGCCUCGAGUCCGAGAGAGGUGAGUGGAGCUCCGAGUGUAGAGGUGAAAUUCGUAGAUAUUCGGAAGAACACCAGUGGCGAAGGCGGCUCACUGGCUCGGUACUGACGCUGAGGUGCGAAAGCGUGGGGAGCAAACAGG